RNAcentral lists this ribosomal RNA (379 nucleotides) under Dermestidae sp. VAITC9114. RNAcentral's name for it is "partial large subunit ribosomal RNA". Lineage: Eukaryota; Metazoa; Arthropoda; Insecta; Coleoptera; Dermestidae. The record is from RNAcentral.
GUCCUUUUGUUUUUUUAUUUAAGGUCUGACCUGCUCACUGAUUUCUUUAAGAGCCGCGGUAUUUUGACCGUGCAAAGGUAGCAUAAUAAUUAGUUUUUUUAUUGAGAACUGGUAUGAAUGGUUGGACGAGAAAAAUUCUGUCUCUUUACUAAUUUUUUGAAUUUUACUUUUAAGUUAAAAGGCUUAAAUUUUUUUAAAAGACGAGAAGACCCUAUAGAGUUUUAUUUAUUAUCUUUAUUUUAUUUUGGCAUUAUUAUUUUUAUAGGUUAAAUAAAUUUUGUUGGGGUGACUGUAAAAUUUAAUUAACUUUUAUUUUAUAAGAACAAAAAUAUUUGAUUUUUUGAUCCGUUAUGCGAUUAAAAGAAAAAUUACCUUAGGG